UGGGGAAUUUUGGACAAUGGGCGAAAGCCUGAUCCAGCCAUGCCGCGUGCAGGAUGAAGGCCUUCGGGUUGUAAACUGCUUUUGUACGGAACGAAAAGACUCCUUCUAAUAAAGGGGGUCCAUGACGGUACCGUAAGAAUAAGCACCGGCUAACUACGUGCCAGCAGCCGCGGUAAUACGUAGGGUGCGAGCGUUAAUCGGAAUUACUGGGCGUAAAGCGUGCGCAGGCGGUUAUAUAAGACAGUUGUGAAAUCCCCGGGCUCAACCUGGGAACUGCAUCUGUGACUGUAUAGCUAGAGUACGGUAGAGGGGGAUGGAAUUCCGCGUGUAGCAGUGAAAUGCGUAGAUAUGCGGAGGAACACCGAUGGCGAAGGCAAUCCCCUGGGCCUGUACUGACGCUCAUGCACGAAAGCGUGGGGAGCAAACA
This 427-nucleotide ribosomal RNA is filed under the name uncultured bacterium. RNAcentral's name for it is "bacterial SSU rRNA". It matches the Rfam family "Bacterial small subunit ribosomal RNA", at positions 355 to 774 of the family's 1533-position model. The record is from RNAcentral.